RNAcentral lists this ribosomal RNA (1775 nucleotides) under Ptilocerembia sp. KBMEB164. Its description in RNAcentral is "eukaryotic LSU rRNA". The stretch from base 466 to 1775 matches the Rfam family "Eukaryotic large subunit ribosomal RNA", at positions 665 to 1860 of the family's 3401-position model. The record is from RNAcentral. Lineage: Eukaryota; Metazoa; Arthropoda; Insecta; Embioptera; Ptilocerembiidae.
GUCCGCCCGGCUGUCCGGUCGCCUGGCCUCGCCCGAUGUCGUCGGCUGCCUGCCGCGGUUCGCGCCGUGUCGCAGUGUCAGUUCCGUCGUUCACGGCGCGAGGUGGCGGCCAUCGCGGCGGCGGAGGACUGCACUUCCUCCCUAGUAGGAACGUCGCGACCCGUCGAGGGCGGGUCCAAGGCACGGGGUAUCGAACGCUCGCGUCUGCGGGGCGGGUUUCCGUUCCCGGCGCGAAUCCUCGUUGCCCGGCCUGCCGUUAGACGGUAUGACGGCGGAGCAGGCUCGCUCAACUCAGAGCGCCCAGCCCGGUGUCGGCGUGGUCGUCCGUCGGUGGCUCGUGUCGAAAACACGUCCCCGGCGCCGUGCCGCGUCCGGCUGCAAGACCGGUGUCCCUGGGCAGCGGCCUAGUCUCCCGUCGGCGACGCCGCAGAUUGGGGCACUCUCCCGACCCGUCUUGAAACACGGACCAAGGAGUCUAACAUGUGCGCGAGCCAUUGGGUUCGGCAGCGAAACCCAGAGGCGCAGUGAAAGUGAAGGUAGCCCUAGGGCAACCGAGGGAGGAUGGCGCCGGCUGUGUCCGGUGCCCGCACUCCCGGGGCGUCUCACCCUCAUUGCGAGGAGAGACGCACCCAGAGCGUACACGUUGGGACCCGAAAGAUGGUGAACUAUGCCUGGCCAGGACGAAGUCAGGGGAAACCCUGAUGGAGGUCCGUAGCGAUUCUGACGUGCAAAUCGAUCGUCAGAGCUGGGUAUAGGGGCGAAAGACUAAUCGAACCGUCUAGUAGCUGGUUCUCUCCGAAGUUUCCCUCAGGAUAGCUGGUACUCGGAGUAAGAGUCUCAUAUGGUAAAGCGAAUGAUUAGAGGCCUUGGGGCCGAAACGACCUCAACCUAUUCUCAAACUUUAAAUGGGUGAGAUCUCCGGCUUGCUCAACGUGAAGCCGGAGGCGGAUCAGAGUGCCAAGUGGGCCAUUUUUGGUAAGCAGAACUGGCGCUGUGGGAUGAACCAAACGCAGAGUUAAGGCGCCGAAAUCGACGCUCAUGGGAAACCAUGAAAGGUGUUGGUUGCUUAAGACAGCAGGACGGUGGCCAUGGAAGUCGGAAUCCGCUAAGGAGUGUGUAACAACUCACCUGCCGAAGCAACUAGCCCUGAAAAUGGAUGGCGCUGAAGCGUCGUGCCUAUACUCUGCCGUCGGCGGCAGGAGGGCGCUCCCGCAAGGGGGCCCCGGCGAAGCUCCGACGAGUAGGAGAGUCGCGGCGGUGUGCGCAGAAGGGUCUGGGCGCGAGCCUGCCUGGAGCCACCGCCGGUGCAGAUCUUGGUGGUAGUAGCAAAUACUCCAGCGAGGACCUGGAGGACUGACGCGGAGAAGGGUUUCGUGUGAACAGCCGUUGCACACGAGUCAGUCGAUCCUAAGCCCUAGGAGAAAUCCCAUGCAGAUGGUUCGGUGUAAAAGUCGAAAGCAAAACCGACCGUCGGGCGAAAGGGAAUCCGGUUCCUAUUCCGGAACCCGGCAGCGGAACCGUUCCAAUUCGGGCCCUCGCAAGAGGACUCGUCGGGGUAACCCAACAGGACCCGGAGACGCCGUCGGGAGAUCGGGGAAGAGUUUUCUUUUCUGCAUGAGCGUUCGAGUUCCCUGGAAUCCUCUAGCAGGGAGAUAGGGUUUGGAACGCGAAGAGCACCGCAGUUGCGGCGGUGUCCCGAUCUUCCCCUCGGACCAUGAAAAUCCGGGAGAGGGCCACGUGGAGCUUUCGCGCCGGCUCGUACCCAUAUCCGCAGC